This is a non-coding RNA of Peromyscus maniculatus bairdii (prairie deer mouse), 1205 nucleotides long. The record is from RefSeq and is a predicted model, not a curated record. Lineage: Eukaryota; Metazoa; Chordata; Mammalia; Rodentia; Cricetidae.
GCCACCCUGAAAGGCUGGACUUCACCGCUAAAUGCACAAGGAAAAUAUUCUUCUUGUAUUUAUUGAGUGUAAUUUUCCUUAGAAGUAAUACUUGCCUUGUUUCACUGUUGGGAAAUUUGGAUUCUUUUGCUUUGAGUAAAACAUUUCAAGUCAAAUGGUCAGCUCAUGUGCGCAGAGGGUGCAAGAACUCUCCCACAUACUGAGCCCUGAGUGCUGUGUAGAAAGGACCACGUCUCUUGACUCAGUACUGCUCCUGGAAUCCAGCCAGCGGCAGGAUCCAAGAGCCCAUGGGGACAGACUGGAGACCCAAGGAUACAGGCCCUGCGGGAAACCAGUGUAUAAAGCAGGGACCAAGGAAGAGUUACCUCAGUGAACUCAGUGCUCACCCGGUCUCAGGGGAGGUGAGGAUGAGGCAAGGCUGAAGACCCACAGUUGAGUAAGCAGAACGGAGAGGCUCUGUAGAGUAGACUGCAAGUCACGGCUGGCCCCAGGCAUGAAUGGAAAAGCACGACACAGAACCCUGUGGGGACAGACUGACGCGGUUCACUUAACUCUUGCUGCCUUUUCUUUUGGGCUGGCAUAGGAGUUACAGAUGAACUGUGACGUAGGAGUUACAGAUGAGCUGUGACGGCCAUUCCACACUUUCACAUCGCUCUUGUGGAUGACAUGAGGCUGAGUCUCAGGGCCUGACUCUUUUUUAAGAUGCCGUCUUCUCCCGCUGCUAUCCUAGGAAACCUCUGGGCCCCUUGACAGGUGGAAAGUGCUGGAAAUUUUGAAGCCCAUGUCUGUGAGACUCAUUUCCUUCGGAGAUCUACGGGACCCGGAUGAACAAAGGAGUUGAAGGGAAAGUUGUUUUGGCGUGAUUGACAGGUGGAUGAGCCAUGCUAAGUGAAGGAGGGAGGACGCAACUAGACCGUGGAGGGUUCCAUUCAUACAAAACACCCAGAAUGGGUCAAUUCAUUGAGUUUUAAAUACGCCUACCAUGCAUAUGGCAUUUAUGCUCAUAUCACGCAGUAUAUAUCAUACUGCUUAUAUACAUACAUUAUGUCGUAUACAUCCUCCUAUGGACAAUCAAAUAAUAUUACCUAUUCUCUUGGGCUUUCAGAUAGGGUAUUUUAAAUUAGGAACGGGGUAAUGAAAGCUUGGAGCAUCAGCUUAACUAGAUCAAGGGGGUCUGACGAUGAAUAAAAAUGAAUUGUUCUUUA